UUCCUUGUGGCUCAGAUGGUAAAAGUGUCUGCCUAUAAUGCAGGAGACCUGGGUUCGAUCCCUGGGUGGGGAUA
Molecule: transfer RNA, 74 nt
Filed under: Ovis aries (sheep)
Lineage: Eukaryota; Metazoa; Chordata; Mammalia; Artiodactyla; Bovidae
Rfam family: tRNA
About the family: Transfer RNA (tRNA) molecules are approximately 80 nucleotides in length. Their secondary structure includes four short double-helical elements and three loops (D, anti-codon, and T loops). Further hydrogen bonds mediate the characteristic L-shaped molecular structure. tRNAs have two regions of fundamental functional importance: the anti-codon, which is responsible for specific mRNA codon recognition, and the 3' end, to which the tRNAs corresponding amino acid is attached (by aminoacyl-tRNA synthetases). tRNAs cope with the degeneracy of the genetic code in two manners: having more than one tRNA (with a specific anti-codon) for a particular amino acid; and 'wobble' base-pairing, i.e. permitting non-standard base-pairing at the 3rd anti-codon position.
Source: Rfam by way of RNAcentral